This 7717-nucleotide small RNA is filed under the name Pongo abelii (Sumatran orangutan). RNAcentral's name for it is "retained intron". Lineage: Eukaryota; Metazoa; Chordata; Mammalia; Primates; Hominidae. The record is from RNAcentral.
GAGAGAGAAUUUACAUAUCAUGCAUUUUAAGUACAUGAUUCAACAACUUUUAGUAUAUUUACAGAAUUAUGCAACCAUUACCACAGUCUAGUUUUAGAACAUUCCCAUCACCCCACAAAGAUCCCUUUUGCUUGUUUGCGGUUAAUUCCCAUUCCUACUCCCAGCAACCACUGAUCUGCUUUCUGUCUCUAGAAAUUCUCUGUCUCGGGCCAUUUCGUAGAAAUGGGCUCAUGAAGUUACAAAGCUUUCUAACUAACUGGCAGACAAUGUGGGUUUUGGGGGGAUCCAACUAUUAAUGGAGGGGGAUUGUCUGUGAUGAUUCCAGAUUCCUAUAAACAUUUCAUGUAAGGACGCAAAGCAUACUUAAAGGAACUUCAGGGGACAAAAUGUGUAUCUUUUCCCAACUCGGUUGUGGGGUGGGGUCCUUGUCUGCAAGGCCAUGGAGGCCCUUCCUGCGUGCAUUCUUUCUGUAACUCAGUGGCAGAAGUUUGCAGAGUGCUAGCCCUGCCCCAGGAACACCUGGACACUGAGGCUGUGCCUGUCUUCUUGUGCCAUGCAGCCUUCCUCUGGGCAGGGAAGAGCACAUGAGUGUAAAUAACUGGAGUGGCCUCUUCUGGUUUCCUCCCCUUGGCCCUCUGGGAAACCCACUUCCAACCUAUGCUAGCCUGGAAUAGCUCUUUUCAGCGGAAACUCUUCCUUCGAGCACCAUCUCUUCAGCUUAAACUUAUCUGUUCUUGUUUUUUUUUUUUUUUUUUAACUUUUUUUCUUACAGAUUCUAGGUGUGUUCCCCAGGCUGGAGUGCAGGGGCUCGAUCAUAGCUCACUUCACUUUAGCCUCAAACUCCUGGGCUCAAGCAAUGCUCCUGCCUUAGCCUUCUGAGUAGCUGGGACUACAGGCAUGCAUCACCUCACCCAGCUAAAUUUUUUUAUUAAAGAUGUCUCACUAUGUUGCCCAGUCCAGUCUCAAACUCCUAGUCUCAAGUGACCCUCCCACCUCAGUGUCUUCAGUCACUGGGAUUAUGGGCAUGAGACACUGUGCCCAGCUUGUUCUGUUCUUGAUCUAGAAUUUAAAUUAGUUAAAAUUCUAGCCUUAACCAGAAUUCUAGAUUGUAUUUCUCGAUAAUCAUGUGUUCUUCCCAUUUUUAACCUAAAGAAAAUGCCUACCUCACCCCGCACCAAACACACACACACACACACACACCCCUUUUAGAUUCUAUUUCUAACUUCAUCAUGAGUAUUAUCAACUUCUCUGAGAUAUUUUGCAUUCUUUACUUUUAUUAUUUAGAGUCUGAAGAUGCUCAUGGUAAAUGCAAGAUUAUAGAGCUAACUUUUUGCACAAAAAGCCCACAAAACAGUCUUUGACAGAGCAUGUCAGUGUUACGUUUGGAUUUUAAAAGACAGUGAAGCUUAGCUGAGAUUCUGUUUUACAGAUUUUGCGAAUAAAUAAAAAGAUUCAGUUUGCUCUGGACUGUGUUAGCUGCAGUGCAGAGGGCGGAACCGGCUGAAGGAACUGCUGUGUAUUUUGAGCACAUCUCAGUCAGCUUCCGUUUCAGUCUUCUGUUUCCAUCACCCACACAGGCAUAUUCAAGAGUUCCUGCUACAUCGAUGUACGCUGGUUUCCCUUUGAUGUGCAGCAUUGCAAACUGAAGUUUGGGUCCUGGUCUUACGGAGGCUGGUCCUUGGAUCUGCAGAUGCAGGAGGCAGAUAUCAGUGGCUAUAUCCCCAAUGGAGAAUGGGACCUAGUGGGUAAGCCAUGAGACUAACAGCCUGGAAGAAAGCUCUCCUAUUCCUGGGCAAGCUUUAAAAGUUUGGGAUUUUCCACUGUCCUUUCCAGUGUGAGCAUUUAUUGAAUUUUGCAGUAGUCUCCAUAAUUUAGUGAGAGCUACAGGAGGAGAAACAGAAAACAGUUAGGAUAUGCCAUGCUUUCCAAGAGGAACUGGCAACUGUAGUGAGGAUGCAUUUAAACAAACCAGUGUGAGGAUAGAUAUCUCUACGUUAUUCAGAUCCACUCCAUUUCUAAAAGCGAGUUGAACAGCAAAUUUCAGUUGAUGGGAACCUAUAUUUGAUUAUUUUAAAUAGGAAAACAGUGAUUACAUUUAUAACUGUAAAAUUGGUAAUGUAUUAUUUAUAAUUAUUAUAAUCAUGUGUUUCCAAUCCACCAAAAGAAUAUCUACCAAUUUGGCCAAGUAUCACUAAAAUACUCUUAACUCUAUAGUAAAUCAACGAGGUUUUAUUCAAGCUAAUUACACCCCCCCCUUUUUUUUUUUUUUAGCACUUUGCAAACUUUAGGGCUGUGCUUGUGUAUGGUAUACACAUUGAAAUAAACAGGGUAAUUUAUUGUAUUCUAACAAAGGCUCCUUCUCUCCUCCUCCCUAUGGAGGAAUCCCUGGCAAGAGGAGUGAAAAGUUCUAUGAGUGCUGCAAAGAGCCCUACCCCGAUGUCACCUUCACAGUGACCAUGCGCCGCAGGACGCUCUACUAUGGCCUCAACCUGCUGAUCCCCUGUGUGCUCAUCUCUGCCCUCGCCCUGCUGGUGUUCCUGCUUCCUGCAGAUUCCGGGGAGAAGAUUUCCCUGGGUAAGUGCCCCGAUGUCUGGCGGGAGUCUGAGACUGGAGGCCCUAUGCUGAUGAGGUCAGCUCUGGAGGGCUCACGGCGGACAGCGCAGGACUCUAUCAGGUUUCCUAGGGAUUCCCUGGCUCAUCCCACAUGGACCUCCUAGCCCAGGGUGGCUCCAGGACACCAGAGGUCCCUGAUUCGGGCUCCGUGCUGGACGGCUGUGUGAUCCUGAGAAUACUGGAGGACCCUCAGAGGAUGGGGGAUGCACGGGGAGGGGCCAGCUCCAUUCUGCCAAGAGGGGCCUGUGCUUUCUUCCCUCCUGCCACCCCACCUGUUCCUCGAUGGCGACUGGUCAUCGAGGGAACAAUUUAGCCUAGUAUCAGCUUGCAUUUGUAUGUUACAGUACCCAGUGUAAUUCUUAUGAUCACUCCCAUACGAAGCUAAGGAAACCAAGAUUUUGAAUGGUGGAAUGAGUUUCCCAAUGUCUUAAAGAGUUACUAAACAUCAGAUGUAGCAUAUGGUAGAAAUCAUUCCCAAACCCGUAUCUUCUGAGUAUGAGGUUCAGAAAGGUUGAAUGUUAUAUCUAAGGUCACAUAGCUAGCUCAGUAGCAAAUGUAAGACCUGAAACCAGGUCUCCUGACUGCAUAUUUUCUUUUUCCUGCUACGUGAAACUACUUCUCAAUAAUAUUUUACAAAGAAUAUGAGAGAUAAUUGUGCCAAGUUAAAUUUUUCAGUUUGUGUUGAUGCUUUUAAAAUUCUGGGUCCUAAACUUGUCUCCAUAAGAGACUCCUUUGGGACUCUGGUAAGUGGCAUGGAAUGUCCCCUGGAAAAUGCACACGCCCGUACACAGGGAAAACGUGCAUUCCACGACAUUCCCCCCCAGCGCCUCCCUAGUUCUUUCGAGUGUCAGGUUAGGAGCCCUCCUUAGACAGAAUUGAGGCCUUCUUGUCUGCUUUGUCUGAGGAGCCGCUGUGUGUUUAUGUUUUAGGGAUAACAGUCUUACUCUCUCUCACUGUCUUCAUGCUGCUGGUAGCCGAGAUCAUGCCCGCAACAUCCGAUUCGGUACCACUGAUAGGUAAGGCAAGAGUCGGGCUCCUCUCUUAGAGAUAGGGGGUUAGGGUUAGAGUGUGCCCAGGAUUUCCCAGCAGAUGAAACUAGAAGAAAUAGGGCUGCACUGCCCCCAUUUUCUCUGGAAGGUGAUGAUUUGCUGUAACUAUUCAGAGUCACCUGGGCCCAAGUAAGGGGAAGGGGAUAUUCAGCUUUGAGGUUUGACUUUUAACUUGCAGAAAUGCCCCCCUUCCCCUCAUAAUUCUCCUUCUCAUGCUUGCUUUGAAGCCAGAUAUUUCAUCAUUACAGAUGCAGCAUUUUAGCUUAAGAUGUUGUUUUCCCACAAAGCCUUUGUUAAAAUGGGAGAAGCACACGGUUACUGUGUCCUGAGAUAACUCAAUGUCUCUGUAUAAAAUAAAAGUUUUUAGGGAAAUAUGAAUGAGAAAAAUAUAUUUUGCACAGGUAUAAGGCAUGACCCUCUACCCAGAGAGGGACAACAAAAACAAGAGUCUCCACUCCCACUGGGCAGUGAAGGUUGGAAGGAGGUAUACAGACUGUCAUUACACCUGCUGGCCCCUGCUGUCUGAGGACCCAUGCUGUGUCUACCUGGGGGUGGGCUAGAGGGAGAGCCCUACCUGGAUACCCCCAGGCUUUGGGAACCAAGCAGCAAAGGCCCUUCUUUGCGGAACUCCCUGUAUGUACAGUAUUUUGGCCAGAGAAACUGUUGGUAUGAAAAGCCUUUGUGGGUAUCAUUUUUCUCUUGGUACCAUCCAGACAGGGAAGAACCACCUUUCCACCUGAUUCUGACUCCAUUCUUUCUACCUUCUAGCACACUGCUUUCAGUAGAGAUUUGCAGCCACCUUUCCUGGGGCAGUUGUCAGGCCUUCUCUGGACUGAUUACCCGCCGGGAAAGGCUUGGUUUGUGCAUAGCCCACAUCUAGAAGGAUGGGAUGUUGAUGGCCCCAGGGACAUCAGCUUUGCUGCCCUCUGUUGAUGGAAUUUCAGUCUGGGCAAUCCUUUGACCCCCAUCUCUCCAGAGGUGGUUGGUCUGCUCAGGCUGCCAUGACAAAAUACUAUGGACUUAGGGGCUUAAAUAACAGAAAUUUAUUUUCUCACAGUUGCACUGCUGAAAGUCCAAGACCAAGGGGCCAUUAGGGAUGGUUUAACCUGAGACCUCUCCCCUUGGCUUGCAGACAACCACUUUCACAAUGCUUUGUCCUCCCCUGGUAGUUCCUCUGUGCACCUGCAUCCCUGGUGUCUCUCUGUGUGUCCAAAUUUCCUCUUCUUCAUUAAAAGAACACCAGUCAGAUUGGAUUAGGGCUUACCCUGAUGACCUAAUUGUACUUAAUUACCUCCUUAAAGACCCUAUCUCCAAGUACAGUCACAUUCUAGGGUACUAGGGGUUAGGGCUUCAACAUAUGAAUUCUAGGGGGAAGCAUAAUUCAGCUCAUAAGGGUCACGGUUUGCUCCUGUCUCCUUCCUUUUCUCAGGGGCCCUGACGCUAACUUUAGGUCUCGAACUUCCAGCUCUGGCAGAGCUCUUCCCAGGUACCUCUUGGUCUUUGUAGGAAAGCAGUGAGUUCCUUCCUGGCGUGAGGGCCAUUGCGGGCUAGCUGAAUGCUUAGCCUCCUGCACCCUGAUGCUUUCCGCUUAGAGCCCAGCCCCUUGAGUGGACAGCCACACCAAAGGUUUAAUAAUUAGAGCUGCCCACUAAAGAACGCCCCCUCCUUUCUCCUAGACAUCUUGGCCUGUGUAAUUGCUCAUCAUUGCACAAAUCCUGCAAGGAAGGGGUUCCUGUUUUAACGGAGGCUAUCGUAACAAAUUGCCGUCGACUGGGGGCCUAAACAACAGACAUUUAUUUCUCACAGUUCUGCAAGGCUGCAAGUCCUAGAUAAGGGUGGCAGCAGGGCUCUGGUGAGGGGCCACGCCCUGGUUUACAGCUGGCCCUCUUCUCGCUGUAGUCUCACGUGGCAAAAAGAGAGUGAAUUAGCUCUUUAGCCUCUUUUUAUGAAGGACUCUAAUCCCAUUCAUGAGGGCUGCACCCUCAGGACCUGUGCAAGGCCCCUGAGAAAAUCACUCACCAUUUCUCUACUUACACAACACUUCUGACACCAAAGCGGAGCGUUUCUCCCACAUCGACCAAUUCUUGGAAACCAGCUGGGCGUCCUACAGUUAGUUCACUUCAGUCCUGAUACCAACUGGAGUUAGCACAGCACUCACAGAUUAAGGCUCACAAGACCAUUUCCACUUGAGAUGCCAGUUAGAAGUUCCGGCUUCCCAUGCUUCUGACCAAGUGUCUAUAAAUCGGGGAGUUCCCAAAAGCACAUCUUUGAGUUCAGCCAUUUACUAGAGUGACUCACUCUAGUAUAAACUCAGGGAAACAUUUUACUGAUAUUUAUUCAUUAAUUAUAGAGCACAGAUGAACAAUCAGAUGAAAGAAAUGCAUAGGGCAAGGUAUUUGAGAAGGGGCAUGGAGCUUCCAUGUCCUCUCCGGGCACAUCACCCUCCAAACACCUCCGCAUGUUCAGCACUGGGAAGGUCUCCAAAGAACUCCAUCCUUUUGGGUUUUUAUGGAGGCUUCACUACAUAGGCAUGAUUGAUUACAUCAUUGGCCACUGGCAAUCAACUCAACCCUCAGUACCUCUUUCCUCCCCAGGGGUCAAGGGUUGGGAGAGGGGACAGGGCUUGAAGGUUCCAACUCUCUAAUUACUUGGCUGGUUCCCCUGGCAACCAAACCCCAUCCUGAGGGUAUCCAGGAACCUCAGCCAUAAAUCAUCUCAUUAGCAUAUAAAAAGACACUGAUGACUUCAGAGAUUCAAAGGUUUUAGGAGCUGUGUGCCAGGAAACCGGAGGAAGACCAAAUACAUAUUUCUUAUUAUAAAUCACAAUCUCAUACCUGCCAAAGCCCCACCUCCAGAUACCAUCCCAGUUAGGACUAGGGUUUUAACACAUGAACUUUGUGGGGACACAAACGUCAUCCUUUGCACCACUCCCCUUGGAGAGCUGAGGCCCAAAGAGGCUGAACAGCCACUCCAAACACAGCCAGUAGCUAGUGGACCGGGGUGGAAGCACUCAGAUGCUCCAUGCUGCCCCUCACCUGGGCCCAGGUGGAAGGACACCCAUGACCCAUUAGAACCAAAGCUGAGACUGAAGUUCUCGUCCUGAAAAGUCCCUGCCACUGACCCCUUCCUCAGGCUGGACAGCUGGCAGCCAGGUGGUGUGCAGGUUUGCCCUCAUUGUGCCCCUGGAGCACAGUAAAGGCCUGCAUCAUAAACACUGGGUGGUUCCUGUGCCCUCACAUCCAGGAUUUACUCACAGGAACAACCUUAUCACCAUCCUGCCAGGCGAUGCUAGCUCUUAUUGACUGACAAGGAGGCCAGAGUGCAUGGAAGUACAAUGAAGUGAGGGAAGGCCACUCCGUGGGCGGGAAGUCAGACCACGCUGGCUGGUUUUGCCCACCUAGAAUGUGGGCUGCAGGCCUGGCUGGUGGCAGGAGGCCAUCUGCCCAGCACAUGGGCAUCACUGCACCCUGAGGCCCUGAUGGUCAGAGAACCUGGUCAGGGUGUGCCUGUCCUGUGACGUGCAGUGCUGCAGGAUCCCCGGGUCUCACCCUGCAUCUGUUCUCUCCACAGCCCAGUACUUCGCCAGCACCAUGAUCAUCGUGGGCCUCUCAGUGGUGGUGACCGUGAUCGUGCUGCAGUACCACCACCACGACCCCGAAGGGGGCAAGAUGCCCAAGUGGGUAUGUUCCUCCCACCCCCGAUGGAGUCGGAGCCCCUCCCUAAAGGAGGCUCCUCCUAGGGUUUAUUUUAAAAAUCACACAGAAAACGGGCAUUCCUAAAGAAACAGCUUUGGGUUUUUUGUUUGUUUGUUUUUUGAGACGGAGUCUCACUCUGUCACCCAGGCAGGAGUGCAGUGGCGUAAUCUUGGCUCACUGCAAUCUCCACCUCCUGGAUUCAAGCAAUUCUCCUGCCUCAGCCUCCCAAGUAGCUGGGACUACAGGCGCCUGCCACCAGGCCUGGCCAAUUUUUUUUGUAUUUUUAGUAGAGAUGGGGUUUCACUAUGUUGGCCAGGCUGGUCUCAAACUCCUGACCUCGUGAUCUGCCCACCUCAGCCU